This 586-nucleotide ribosomal RNA is filed under the name uncultured bacterium. RNAcentral's name for it is "partial 16S ribosomal RNA". It matches the Rfam family "Bacterial small subunit ribosomal RNA", at positions 355 to 1375 of the family's 1533-position model. The record is from RNAcentral.
UGGGGAAUUUUGGACAAUGGGCGAAAGCCUGAUCCAGCAAUGCCGCGUGUGUGAAGAAGGCCUUCGGGUUGUAAAGCACUUUUGUCCGGAAAGAAAUCCUUGGCUCUAAUACAGUCGGGGGAUGACGGUACCGGAAGAAUAAGCACCGGCUAACUACGUGCCAGCAGCCGCGGUAAUACGUAGGGUGCAAGCGUUAAUCGGAAUUACUGGGCGUAAAGCGUGCGCAGGCGGUUUGCUAAGACCGAUGUGAAAUCCCCGGGCUCAACCUGGGAACUGCAUUGGUGACUGGCAGGCUAGAGUAUGGCAGAGGGGGGUAGAAUUCCACGUGUAGCAGUGAAAUGCGUAGAGAUGUGGAGGAAUACCGAUGGCGAAGGCAGCCCCCUGGGCCAAUACUGACGCUCAUGCACGAAAGCGUGGGGAGCAAACAGGAUUAGAUACCCCUGGUAGUCCACGCCCUAAACGAUGUCAACUAGUUGUGGGGAUUCAUUUCCUUAGUAACGUAGCUAACGCGUGAAGUUGACCGCCUGGGGGAGUACGGUCGCAAGAUUAAAACUCAAAUGAAUUGACGGGGUCAUAGCUGUUUCCU